This 1163-nucleotide long non-coding RNA is filed under the name Gossypium barbadense (sea-island cotton). RNAcentral describes it as "long non-coding RNA (GBAR_LNC019535)". Lineage: Eukaryota; Viridiplantae; Streptophyta; Magnoliopsida; Malvales; Malvaceae. The record is from RNAcentral.
UAAAAUGUGUGAACCAUUCGUUGGUAAUAUAAAAUGUAAAAUGUACAAUCUAUCCAUUGAAAUAUGAGUGGAAGGACUAUUUAUCGUUAUAAAUAAUUGUAGUAAAUAUAACUUCUAGCGUGAGCUUUUGACAAGUGAAAAAUAAGUGUUGAGUGUGUGUGCUCAAAGUUACAAAAAAUUUAUUCAUUAAUCCAAUUUGGAGUUCACUCGUUGCGCUUGCACAUGGGGAGGCUUAUGGGGGUCCUGCUUCCACAUAUAGGGGUGGCUUAUGGAAGGUAUCAUAUGUUGAUCGCACUAUUGCUGGCUCUCGCAAAUCGAAAUUAUGUGGAGAGUAACGAAUGGCUUACUCCCGCACAUGGGUCAGCUUACGAGGGGUCUUGCUCCCGCACAUAAGGGGAGACUUACAGGAGGUAUGCUCCCUCAAAUGGAAUGUAUAUAAACUUAAUAAUAUUAUAUAUCAUCACAAAUGUCAUAAUAAAACUCAAAUAAGUAGUAAAAAAAUGGUAAUUGAGAUAUUAAAAUAACAGUAUUUGAGGUAUAUAUACCUGAUUCUUCAGUUGAUCCUGGUAAAAAGUCGUAGCUAAAGUUACAGUGGUAGCCAACACCCCAAUCCGCACAUUACUCACAAUACCAUGUGGUUGUUGCAUUAUUCAUAUUAUUAAGAUUCAAAAUGGAAAAGAAAUUAAAUGCGAAAUAAACUAGCUAUGUAGAACUCCCAGAAUAAUUUCUCUUCUUCUUCUUCUUCUAGUAAACUAUACAUACACAUAUACGCAUGCUACACCCUUCCGAGUAUCUCUCAUGGGGUGUUGAACACUCUCGGGUUUACACCCCACCCGUAUAUGUGCGUAUGUAUAUAUAUAUAUUACAUGUGCAUGUAGAAUUGAUUGAGAAGUGCAAUGGGUUUUAACCUCUUGUGUGUCCCUAUCAACUGCCACAACUCGGUUUUUUUUUUUGAUAAUGAAGAACUACAUAUGCUAUCCACUUAUAUCAAAACCUCAUCCGGUGGUUGACCAUAACAAUGUAAUCCUAGUGGCAGUUGAAAUGCAAGAUUAGCCAUGCAUAUAUAUACAUCAUGCAGAGAGAGUGUCUAACCUCCAGCUAGAGGUCUUUACCUAUUUGCUUUUUUUUUAAAAUAUAAAUAAAGUAUACAUGCAUGGGGUUGU